RNAcentral lists this ribosomal RNA (429 nucleotides) under Actinomycetes bacterium. Its description in RNAcentral is "Actinobacteria bacterium partial 16S ribosomal RNA". It matches the Rfam family "Bacterial small subunit ribosomal RNA", at positions 355 to 776 of the family's 1533-position model. Lineage: Bacteria; Bacillati; Actinomycetota; Actinomycetes. The record is from RNAcentral.
UAGGGAAUCUUCCGCAAUGGGCGAAAGCCUGACGGAGCAACGCCGCGUGAGUGAUGAAGGUCUUCGGAUCGUAAAACUCUGUUAUUAGGGAAGAACAAAUGUGUAAGUAACUAUGCACGUCUUGACGGUACCUAAUCAGAAAGCCACGGCUAACUACGUGCCAGCAGCCGCGGUAAUACGUAGGUGGCAAGCGUUAUCCGGAAUUAUUGGGCGUAAAGCGCGCGUAGGCGGUUUUUUAAGUCUGAUGUGAAAGCCCACGGCUCAACCGUGGAGGGUCAUUGGAAACUGGAAAACUUGAGUGCAGAAGAGGAAAGUGGAAUUCCAUGUGUAGCGGUGAAAUGCGCAGAGAUAUGGAGGAACACCAGUGGGGAAGGCGACUUUCUGGUCUGUAACUGACGCUAAUGUGCGAAAGCGUGGGGAUCAAACAGG